RNAcentral lists this long non-coding RNA (520 nucleotides) under Phascolarctos cinereus (koala). RNAcentral describes it as "lncRNA (ENSPCIG00000006055.2)". The record is from RNAcentral. Lineage: Eukaryota; Metazoa; Chordata; Mammalia; Diprotodontia; Phascolarctidae.
CUAGGUCGUGUGGCGGAGGUGAGGAAGGAGAAUCGGCGGGGGCUGCAGUUAUGGGGGGCGGCGUCGGGCGCUCAGGGGCCCGCGGGCUCCGGGAACAUCUCUAGGCGCUGCCCGGGACCUGUGCCUGUUGCCCUGCGGCCCAGAGGGGCCGCCAUCUCCGGUCGGGACUGGGAGUGGGGUAACUCCCGGACCCGCAACUCCGGGGCCCUGGCCCCGAACUUGGCUGCCGUCCGGACUCCGGGGCUUGAGACCGAUGGACACACAGAUAGACGGACACUGGGCUGCGGCUGUCCAAGUCCGGGGUGGAUCGGGUUGGCCAGCUCUGGAGAAGACUGACAGCUCGGCCCCCGGGGGCGGGGCGGGGCCGGCCCGACUCGUUAAAGGGAAAGAGCUGCCUGUUUGCGCCGAGGUUUCAGGCUCGGCUAGCUUCGAGUCAGGAUCUCGUUGCGCCUGGACAUGCACUGGUGUUGCUGGAGGCCUCCGGGGAAGGAGAGACAGCUGGUGGUGGACUAGACCCUGA